GCAACGAGCGGGGCAGUGUAGCUGCGUGACCGCUCGAAUGGAUCGAAUAUAAUUUGCACUGCCUCAUCUUCGAUCUACACCGCAUCGAGUACCCUGCAGCAAGUCUACAUGAGGACGAAGCGCCAAUUGGAUCUGUCACAGUUGUGUGUUACACUGCAUUUUGUGACCUGUCUAUACCUACAUUGUAUGAGCUGCUUCUUUUUACACCGUUCACAUGGGCAUGUUAUUACGGUUUACACGUGCCUAUCUGCAACUAGAUUUGGUUUGGUUUACAUUGCAGUAGCAAUGAUCUACAUAAUAUAAUAUCUGAUAGAUUUAAACGUAUACUUUCAACACUACUAUGAUGAAGUAGCGGUACAGGAUGUGUCCAUAGACAUGACUCGGGACGACGUGAGUUGAUCUCCCCACGGCCCCUAAAUGGCUAAUGCACCUUUAGGGUCCGUUCGUUUACAUGCGAACAAGGCAAACGGAGAACAAAUCACAUAUGCGCUAGGUUUAUCUACUGAAAUUUCAUACCACUAAAUUGAACAACACAUCCUUUAAAAGAAGAUUGUACAACACAUCUGUUUCAAAAAAUUAGAUAAAAAUUUUGUACAACACUUGGAAGUAAUGAAUACAUCUCUUAAACUUAAGCUGUUAGCUCAUGUACACCCCAUUGGCACAAACAAAGCUAGCUUUUGGAUAACCACGACGGCGUCAUUCGUGAUAAUAAGUUUUUACGCGUACGGCUUCCCCAGAUGUGAACCAGUUCCCACUCAUCCGUGGGGUCUGUACAGCUAGCGUUACCUUUGGAGAGAUCGACCGGGCGGAGAAGGUUUCUAUGUUUGCAGAAGGUUGAAUAUUCGGCCAUUCUCACUGUUUUCUUGUCCUUGACGCUAAUCCUGACCAAGAAUGCCUUGUUUUGUGCCGACAAUGUGAGGUAAAGGAUGCUGCUAUUGUGCGUGCCCAGAACAGGGAAGCACGGUGGCUUGACCUUCCAUUGUGGCAGUGAUGAUUCCGGAGGAAACUUAUCCUUGAAGGUCUCCCGUAGUUUUUCGUACUUGUAGGUGCCUUCCAUACUCCAGGCCCAGCCAUCGUUGUUCCUAGUUGUACGACCCAGCUUCCAGGUCUCGACCUCUAAAGAAUUGCCAUCAGGGCAAUGGAGGUUUACAAGCUUAAUAAACUUACCUUGGCAGCAGGCAACACUCCGGAAUGGUUCCGGUCGCUCCCUUCUGUGGUGGGCGUCCUUGAUUGGCUUUUCUGGGGAGAGACGAGGAAGUGGCACAUACUGGAACUUCGGAGGUUCAUGGUCCUCACUGGAGCAACCGGGGAGAAGAAGGUUGGAGCAGCGUAGGAUGCCUCGCCAGAGAUCGAACCACAGUAGGGAAUUCCCCAAGGAGACCACCUGGUCCGUUCGCCACUCGCACAUGUACUCACCCUUCUUGUCCUCGGGAAACGGCAGGUCAACUUUCUGUUGGUUCCACUUGUCCCUCAAGUAAGGCGACCACCGGUCGAGGUGCGCUUCCAUCUUCUCAGUAUUUUCAUCCAACUCUAUUCGAAGGUUAGCCACAAGAAAUUUGUCGCGGCUGUUGUUGCUGCUCCCAUCGACGAUGCGCAGGAGGCCAACGGAGCCGCCGGAGCAGUAAAUCCCUUGGGGAAGCCGCUGGGCCACCUUCUGAUCAUCAUCGGCGAUGUCGCAUACAAAGUAGUCCGUCGGGACUCCUCUGUCGGGAGUACGUAGACGGAGGAGGGCGAGGCCCUCGUCGACGCCUACCACCUCUAGGAAGGAUGGAAUGGCGUCUCCACCAUAGGGGUCCGGCGUGUCUGGGCAGAUCGCGCCCAGCAACAAGAUGCCCUUGCUCGUGGUGUGUUCCUCUAGCCAGAAAGACACCUUCUUGCCCGCGCUUGUCGUGGCCGUCUUGAUGGAGCGGCGGUCUGGGGGGUGCUUGGCGACGCCCAGGGGAUCAAGCAUCAGGCAAGGGCCACUAGGCGCCAUAUAUAUGCAUGUGUUGGCAGAAAUCAAGAGGACGGAAAAGAUGAAUCUGCUGCCCGGCAGCCUACAAGAACAGCAGCAAGGCACUCUCGACUUCUCAAUGCAAUUGUGGGAGCGAGCGUUGUUGGUGGCUCUCUUCCCUUUGCACCUGUGAAGUUUCUUAUAAUGCUGUGUGAACGAUAAGCUGUUUAUUAAUAUGGAGGUGGAGGAAAGAGAGGGAGACGAGGGAAAGAAUGAUAUGGUUGCUUAAGAAGAACGACGACUACUUCCUUCAAAAAAAAAGGAAGAACAACUACAUACAGGACAAGAUAGCUGUAAACGCAAUCGCUAGAUAAAAUAAUCCUUCUUCUUAAUAUAAUGAUACGUAACUCUUCUAUAUGUUUGAGAAAAAAAAUACUAGACAAAAACAUUAACUAUGGGGUAGACCCACGUUGACGCCAGCGAGGCCCCAACCCCCACUCAAACCUUUCGCAGUGGUAGUUUGAAAUUUCUCGCCCUGUAUACGCGUCUAUUUUUUAUGGUUAUGCAUGUAUAGUAUGCUCCACUUACAUUUUUUUCCAAGUUCCGCCCCUUGCUUCAGCUGGCAGAUUUAUUUCUCACCCACCCUUGGAUUUUGAAAUCACUGCGGUAAACAUUCAGUUAUUUGUUUUGAAUGGUCACGGGGGAGAGCAUCCCAUUGUAUUGAAACGGUGUGUCCGACCACAUAUCAACGGCCUCAGUUUUAGGGAAAAUGAGACAACCUUAUUACAACGCUCGGUUAAUUUAGGAAAAUCGGGCUAAAACCAUAAAAUCCACCUAGCUAAACUAGGCCUCAUACGACACACCACGCAAACUAUGGUAUAACCACGGAUAAUGACACCAUGUCCUAACACAAGUAUGAAAUUAUAGCUUAACCGCGAAUAACACUACCACACUAAACACAAGCUCCAACUUCUAGCAUGAACCACAGCGCCGCAUCAUCGGCAACUCCAUGAGCUUGGUGCCUGAGAUUCACCUUGAGGGCCUAGCACCACACACAAGUUCAAGAUGCACUAGUACAUAAAGCGUCUUUGGUCCUUAUUUGUCCCGAUCGCCGUUGGGCCUGGGACCAAUAAAAGCUUUAGUCCCGGAUCUAACAGCUAGGGGUCUGGAGGAACGUUUAGUCUUGGUUGGAGAAAAGUUCAAAACUUUUAAUCCCGGUUGGUAAUAUCAACUGGAACUAAAGAGUCACCAUUUACCAAUCGAGACUAAAGGACCUUUUAGUCCCGGUUGGUGCUAUCAACCGGGACUAAAGGUAGUUUCAUGGGUCGUUUUAAAAGAAAAGCAUCCCAAGUAGAGUCACAUGUGCUGUAUAGGUGGGUUAACAAGAAAGCUAUGCGCGAGACAAUAGGUCGUGGGUUCGAAUCCUGAAUGCGGAGUAAUUUUUUUGCAUUUGUACAGGGCCUUUAGUCCCGGGUGUGGGAACCGGGACUAAUGGUCCGGGUCUUUAGUCCCGGAUUUAUAGUCCCGGUUCCAUAACCAGGACUAAAGGCCUUUUCUGUACUAGUGAUGCCUAUCUCUGAAGUAAUGCCUCUAACGAGGACUUGACAUCGAGACGUCAACAUUGCUCGAUCCGGCAGAGCCGGAUCUUAGUUUUCACCUAGAGAAAGGUUGUUAGAGAUUCUUCGACGAUGCCUCCAAUGAGAGGUGUGAUAUCUGGGGAUGCUACCACCGGCGGCCAUAGCUUAAGCUAGACAGAGCUUUUGCUCACAACCUGCACCAAGAUGGGCAUAUAGAGGUGACUCACACAUGGCCAAGCUAGCACCAAGACACCCAGAACCACCACCGAUUGCACCACCACUCCAUCAGCACGAUGCCACGGAUCGUGUCAGGUCCCCUCCGCAGCCAGGCGUAGGGAAGGUAGGCCCGCCGAGCUAGUGGGCCCUGCCACGAACCCGGUGGCCGCCGAACCCAGGCGCCCGACCUCUCGACCAGCGAGGAGGAGGGAACCUGCCAACUUGGCGAGAGGCCCGCCCCCGGUGCAUCAGGGGGAUGGGGCAGGAGGAGAACGAUGCCAUCCCCUAACACGGGGAUAGAGGAUGUGACCAAGGACGUGUUAGGCGGCUCCGCGGACCAGACGAACGGGACUUGACUUCGGCAGGCGGCAGAGCACGAAUGGACGCAGGCCCCGGUAGGACACGUGUCGGGCAACCGACCCCGGGAAAAAAAGGCACCACCCCUCUCUCACGCAAGGUAGCCCAUCCCGCCACGUAUAUAAGGCGGAGCUAGGCCUUCUCUAGGAAGGAUGAUGCGAUCAUACAUCACACACACACCAUUUGCAUUUGAACGUGACGAACACGAAGCGAGCCACCCCAUACUGGAUGUAGGGCUUUUGCCUGAACCAGUCUAAAUCCUUGCCUUCGAUUGUUAGCCACCGAGCCAUCGAGAAGCGCGGCGUAAAUUACUGGCUGGUGAUCAAAACAUCGACAAAUAAGUAUAUAUCAUAUGCAAUAUUAAAGUUAUAUACUAUAUAUAUAAGGUUAUAUAUAUGAAGCGAUGUAGAUCUUGCGCUUCUAAUCUUUCUAAAAUUGCGUAAAUUCUUCUGUAACAACAAAAGUUAAGAUAUAAGGCUGUUCGGCAUAGCUCUAGAUCUAUUUUUUUUGGAGUUAAAGCCAUGUGUAUAUUGAAGGUAGUUUUGAGCAAUUUUAUUUUCGGAGUUUGAAUUAACACAUAUGUUCCCACCACUCUAUAUAUUUAUCAUACAUCCUAAUAUAUAUAUAUAUGACGAGUUUUAUCUACGCUCGUGUGUAGCUAGUCUCACCAUCAGUAUACCAUCGUACGUAUGUUUACAUACUCAUUUAUCACUUUGAGUAUGUUUAUAUACUUAUUUUGGUACUUCAAAUGGAUAUAUACGAAAAAUUUCAAAAGCAUCUGUCAGACCUGGGGCCACGGGACCGUGUACAUAAUGUAGUUUAAAGAGGUUUAAGAGAUUAAGUCCGUCUUAUCUCUUAUUUAUCUUGUUUAUCUCUUAUUUAUCCCGUUUAAGUAGGAGAUAGAGCUAACCGAUACAGGAGGAAUCUACUCGAGAUAUGUUCUGGUACGAUUCCUUAGCUGGUGUUGGUCAGUAUCUUUAUAACCCUAACCUCUCGGAUAUAUAAGGGAGGAUAGGGACCCCUCUCAAAACACGAUCUCUAGAUCAUUCUACACCUAAGGCAAUACAAACCACCCCACAGGACAUAGGGUGUUACGCACCUAGCGGCCCGAACCUGUCUAAGCUUUUUGUUCCUUGUUCCUUCGAGUUCCUGAUCUCGGCGUCUCCUCACCCAAAACUUACCACGUUGGGUAUACCCCUCGGUGGGCAGCCGGUUAAACACCGACAGCUGGCGUGCCAGGUAGGGGAGCGCGUCGAAGAUCCACCGGCGAGCUCGAUGGCAUCUUUCAAAUUCUCCAGGUUAGUUCCCUCUCAGGGCACGACAUUUGUUUUUGGCUCGUGGGUCUGCAUCGCAGAUGGUGUGGGCGAUUUCCGGCGAUUCCUCAUCGGCAUGAAGCCAAAGACUUCCGCUGCGGAUCCCCGCAGCGACCUCGACAAGUUCGUCGACAAUCUCGAUGGUUUGUCGACCCAUGCUUCUGCAACAAAGAUCGAGAUGGAGUCUGCUCCAGGCUCGACUUCAUCCAGCGUUGCGGCAACUUCCCUUGGGUUGGACUCAUUCCAAUCUAAGGAUUCGCGUAACCGAUCCCGACUCGGUUCAUGCAAUCCGGCCACUGAUCUCCAGGAGGCCAACGUCUCUGGGUCCCUCUCCACGCUAGAGAAGGACCUGGACUCUCUGCUCCAGGUUGGAAGGCCUGAAGCCACUGCGUGUCUGGGGACUUCGGGUUGUUUUGGCGCCAGUGAUCUGAUGAUCACCUCCAUGCCGGAGGGGCGCAUUGUGCAUUGGAGGGGCAUGGCGCUCUCCAAUCUACUCGAGGCUGAGGGUCGACUUGUGCCCAUCUCGAGCCUUUGCCCUUUCAGGAGGGCAGGCCGCUAGCCACCGUGGCGGAGGGGUCGACUGAACUAGUCGACGCGAGCUCUGACGAGCUCCCCUCCCGCCAGGUGCUAAUGGUGGAAGAAGGCGAGGAUGAUGGUGGUUUUCCCGUCGCCGAUUUUGAAGCGGUCUCUGAAGAUGAGGCCACUGCCAACGCCGAUCGCGAGGUGCGGAGGGCCAGGAACAGGGCCCGUGCAAUCCGGCGAAGGAGGGCCAACGAGCGUAGACGAUCUAUGUAUCGCGAGCUUGACCUGAGUUUGUCGCCGUAAGCGAACGGGGUUUCAGGACCCCGGUGGCCAACAUUUCCAGGGUUACGACCAUCCUCGAGCGCAGCAACGAUCCGGACGUGCGUCAAGCACUUCUUUACGCGCAGAGGGCCUAGAUCCAGCUGGAUCAGCAAAACCUGGCGUCCACCAUCAGGGAGGAGCGCAUGGGUGAGAGUCGGAGCCAGGCUCACAGCCGAACGGCUGGCGGUCGCCCUCGAUAUCAGCCCAGCCACAACAACGACAACGCUCGCGGGAGCCAGGCCCUUGGCGGGAGGCAACAGCCACCUCCAGGGGGUAACCCGCGACAGGCCAAUCAUCAGCCUCCUACAGAAGACUUGCGCCAGCACAUUAAUGAAGGUCGCGACACGCGGACCGUGGUCUCCUCCAGGCGCAAGGUCCGCGAAGAAGUCGAAACUGAAGGUACUGACUGUAGCGACUGUUUUCCAGCUUUCUCUGCACGAUUCAGCAGCUACAAGUACCCAGAGGGCUUCAAGCCGGUCGGCAUCACCAAGUACGACGGCAAGCAGGCUCCUCAGCAGUGGCUCCGUUGCUACUCCACGGCCAUUGAGGUCGCAGGGGGCUCGAACAUCACCAAAGUCGUCUACUUCCUGAUGGCUUUGGACCCUGCACCGCUCACGUGGCUGGAGAGCCUCAGCAGCAACUCCAUCGACUCCUGGGAGUGUCUCAAGAAGGUCUUCAUCGACAACUUCCAAGGAGCGAUCGCUCGCGUAGGUACUCGUCACGAUCUUGCUCAGUGUAAACAGGAACGUAAUGAGCUCCUGCGAUCCUACACACGUUGCUUCUUCGACAUCCGCGCCACCAUCGCGAACAUCUCGGAGGACGACAUCAUCGACUGCUUCUACAACGGCAUCACCGACCCAGGCAUCUACAGGGAUUUUGGGCGGAAUAGGCUGAAGACUGUUGCGGACCUUUGUGAUAUGAUGCACGAUUGGUCGGAACAGGAGGAGAAGAUGCGGGAGCGGUUCCCGCGGCCUCAAGAUAGUAAUCUGAGGCGCCCAAACGACAACCGCAACGACAAAGGCCAGCGGGACUUUUCAGGUCCACCCCGAAAACGCAAGCCAGAUGAUAUCAUCGCGGCUAUGGAUCGUCCUUCGCGGGGCAAGAAGUUGAUAACGCAGGAAGAGUUCGAGAAGCUCCUGCAGAAGAAGUGCCCAUGGCAUCCAGGUGCCAAUCACGCUGCCAUUGACUGCUACCACCCUCGGAGAACGUUCAGCAACUCCGGUGGUGGUAAGAAGAACAAGAAGCCUGCGGACAAAGAGCCCGAGGAUGACGACCAAGAGGACCAAGGGCGUAACCCGAAGUUCCAGGACGCUUCGAAGGUCGUCAAUGUCAUCUUCGGGGGAAAUGAGGAUUUUGGCUCCAGGCGGGACCAGAAGCUGCUUCUUCGGGAGAUCAUGUCCGUCGAGCCGGCGGUACCAUGACCACUCCGUUGGUCGGAGGUCCCCAUCUCAUUCUCUCGCGACGACCAGUGGAUGAGCUUUUCGGAGCCCAGAAAGUUCCCCUUGGUCCUUGAUCCUGUGGUGGCAGAGGUCAAGCUCACCAAGGUCCUCAUCGAUGGCGGGAGUGGGCUCAACCUCAUCUUCGUCAGCACUUUGAGGAAGAUGGGCCUGGACUUCAAGGACAUGCUGGUUCCCAGCAAGUCCCCUUUCUAUGGCAUCGUCCCAGGUAACACGGCACACCCACUUGGUACGGUUGUCCUCCCAGUCACCUUCCGCACGAGGGAGAACUACCGUACUGAGUUCAUCAAGUUCGAAGUAGCUAGCUUCGAAUCUUCUUAUCAUGCAAUUUUGGGUCGUCCGGCACUUGCCAAGUUUAUGGUACUGCCACAUUACGUUUAUCUGCUUCUCAAGAUGCCAGGAUUAAAUGGGGUACUUACUCUCCGAGGCGACUUGAAGAAGUCGUAUGACUGCAAUCAGGAGGCGAUUCAGUACGCUUCGACUACUCGUGUGCCAGGUGCUUCCGGAGAAGUACUCACGGCCGUGCAGCUCUCCCAGUCUGGGCUGGAGAUUACCUCCAAGAAGGCCAGCAAGUCGAGCAUCCAGUCAACUGACGACGUGGCCCUCAAGACGAUCCAGCUUCAGGAGGGAGAUUCAUCUAAGACCGUUGUCAUCGGCGCGGGCUUAGGUGACAAAUAGGAACUCGCGCUCGUCAGCUUCCUUCGGGCUAACCGAGACAUAUUCGCGUGGAAACCAGCGGAUAUACCAGGGGUGCCCAGGGAGUUGAUCGAGCAUGGUCUGAAUGUACACCCAAAGGCUGUGCCUAAGAAGCAACGCCUGCGAAGGUUUGCCCACGAUAAGAGUGAGGCCAUCAAACGGGAGAUAGCUAAACUCCUUGCAGCUGGAUUCAUUAAGGAAGUAAUCCAUCCAGAGUGGGUAGCUAAUCCUGUUCUUGUACGAAAAAAGAAUAAUGAAUGGAGAAUAUGUGUUGACUACACUGAUCUCAACAAGCACUGCCCGAAAUGCCACUUUGGGCUGCCGCACAUUGACCAAGUUGUCGACUCAACGGCUGGUUGCGUCCUUCUUUAUUUUCUUGAUUGUUAUUCAGGAUAUCAUCAGAUUGCGCUUAACGAGGAGGACCAAAUCAAGACUGCAUUCAUCAUCCUGUACAGGACGUAUGCCUAUAAAACCAUGUCCUUCGGGUUGAAGAAUGCAGGAGCAACCUAUCAGCGUGCAAUCCAGAUGUGCUUCGCGGGUCAGCUGCACCGGAAUGUUGAGGCCUAUGUGGAUGAUGUGGUCAUCAAGACCAGGGAUUCCGACGACUUGAUUGUAGAUUUGGAGGAAACAUUUAGCAGUCUGCGCAGAUUUCGGUGGAAACUCAAUCCUACCAAGUGCGUUUUUGGAGUACCUUCAGGGAAAUUGCUCGGGUUCAUCGUCAGCAACCGGGGCAUUAAAGCCAACCCUGUAAAGAUCACGGCCAUCACUGAUAUGGGGGCUCCGGCCACAAUCAAGGAUAUGCAGAAGUUAACAGGUUGUAUGGCAGCCCUGAACAGGUUAAUCUCCUGCCUCGGGGAGAGAGGACUACCCUUCUUUAAGCUCCUAAAAAACCAAGAUCAGUUCCAAUGGACGGAGGAGGCCGAGCGGGCUCUGCAAGAUCUGAAACAUCAUCUUCAGUCUCCUCCGAUCCUUACAGCACCAUUGCCGGGGGAAGACCUACUACUUUACAUUGCGGCAACAACCCAUGUUGUCAGCAGUGCUAUUGUAGUCGAGCGAGGCGAGGAAGGCCAUGCGUUUGGAGUGCAGAGGUCUAUCUACUUCGUCAGCGAGGUACUCUCCGAAUCCAAGGUACACUACCCCACCGUUCAGAAGCUUUUAUAUGCAAUUUUAAUCACGUCAAGAAAGCUGCGCCAUUAUUUCGACGAGUACAAGAUUACUGUGAUUACGGAUUUCCCGUUGGCUGAUAUUCUUCAUAAUCAAGAUGCCACGGGGCGCAUAUCAAAGUGGGCAGUGGAACUGGGAGCUUUGUCAAUCGAGUUCAAGCCACGCACUGCAAUCAAAUCUCAAGCUCUAGUCGACUUCAUGGCUGAAUGGAGGGAGAAUCAAGUUCCAACUCUAGUUGACAGGCCAGAGCACUGGACCAUGUACUUUGAUGGGUCUCUCAAGCUCGAUGGCGGCGGUGCCGGAGUUCUGCUUAUUUCUCCACGGAGCGAGCAAUUGAAGUAUGUCCUUCAGAUCCUGUGGGCGGUAUCCAACAAUGAAGCCGAGUAUGAAGCCUUGCUUCACGGGCUUCGUUUGGCGAUAUCACUAGGGAUCAAGCGACUAUUUGUGUAUGGCGACUCCCUUCUUGUCAUUCAACAAGUCAACAAAGAGUGGGACUGCAACAAGGAGACGAUGGACGCCUACAUCCAGGAAGUGCGCAAGUUGGAAAGUAAAUUUUCCGGCUUGAAGGUUCAUCAGGUGCUACGAGAGCACAAUGUCGGUGCGGAUACCUUGUCCAAGCUGGGGUCAGCACGUGCUCAGGUCCCACCGGGAGUCUUCAUCCAGGAGCUCAAGCAGCCAUCCAUCAAGCCUUCUCUGUAGGUAACCAUCGAUGCGGGUCCCCAACAACCCGAUCGAGAGGUUAUGGCGCUGGGGGAGGACUGGCGAGAGGCUUUUAUUGACUUCAUCCGAGAUCAAAGGCUACCAGCGGGAAUUGACGCCAGAAGCGCAGAUGCGGCAUGCGUCAUGUGCAGAAGCAAGGGUUUCGUCCAAGUCGACAGCAAGCUCUAUCGGCGUGACGCUCGGUCAGGUGUUCUCAUGAAGUGCGUCACAAUGGAAGAUGGCUACGACUUACUGCAGGAGAUCCAUGAGGGCGUCUGCAGCAACCAUAUAGCUUCAAGGACGCUGGUGGGGAAGGCAUACAGGGCCGGCUUUUGGUGGUCCACUGCAGUAUCUGACGCGGAAGAUCUCGUGCGCAGGUGCCAAAAUUGUCAAUUCUUCGGCAAGCAGUCCCAUGUUCCAGCCUACAGCCUCAUCAUCAUACCGCCAUCCUAGCCCUUUGCCUGUUGGAGCCUUGACAUGAUUGGGCCCUUCACAAUAGUGCUGGGGGGUUUCACCCAUGUGUUGGUGGCUAUCGACAAGUUUACCAAGUGGAUCGAGUACAAGCCGAUAGCCAAGCUCACACCAGAUCGAGUUGUUGAUUUCGUCUCUGAUAUCUUGCAUCGGUUCAGCUUCCCAAAUACCAUCAUCACAGACUUGGGAUGAAAUUUCACAGCCAACCAGUUCUAGGAGUUCUGUGAGAAUGCAUGCAUCGAGGUUAAAUAUGUCUCUGUUGCACACCCAAGGGCUAAUGGACAAGUCGAACGGGCGAACGGCAUGAUAAUCGACGGCCUCAAGAAGAGACUCUACGAUGAAAAUAGCAAGAAGGGAGGCAAAUGGAUACACGAGCUGCCACAUGUUGUCUGGGGGCUUCAGACUCAGCCAUCCAAAGCCACAAGACAAACGCCUUUCUUCCUCGUAUACGGAUCUGAAGCUAUCUUACCGGCCGAUAUCAUGUGGAAGUCCCCAAGGGUUGAAAUGUACAACGAAGGCGAGGUGGACGAGGCGAGGCAAUUAGAGCUCGAUUCUGUUGAGGAGGCUCGCUGACCGCUCUUAUUCAGUCAGCUCGAUACCUGCAGGGGAUUCUGCGAUAUCAUGAUCGUAACAUGAGGGAACAAUCAUUCAGCAUCGGUGACUUGGUCCUACGUCGCAUUCAGGACAAAUCCGGCCUACACAAGCUUAACUCAAGGUGGGAGGGCCUGUUCAUCGUCAAGCAGGUUACAAGACCGGGGUCAUAUCAACUACAAUAUCCCGAGGGUCAAGAUGUUCCGAACUCUUGGAACAUCCAGAACCUGCGCAAGUUUUACCCAUGAGAAGAUGUCCGGUGAUAGCUGAAUCCUCGGGGGCUGGGACGGUCUCCUUUUCUCGAAUCAAUUUGGAGGCUAUGUGCCACAAGAUUCGGGUUGUAAAUUCCUUUAUGAACACACGGAGGCUACGGUCACGUGCUGUACUUAUAUAAAUCGACUUCUUGUCAUGAAUUUUACGGAGGCUACGGCCACGUUCAUAUCUUAUCAACUUCGUGUUUUGACGGAAGCCUCGGCUCCGUUCUUACCUUCUACAAAUCGACUUCCGCCACAGCCUUGAAUGGUCAUUCACUACUGCACUUAUCCCAACAAAAUCGAUCCGUUCGACUGGUUUAUGCCCAGUUUGUUGGAUGGGCUCGCAUGAAGAGCUACUUCGACUACAUCCUGAGUCGUUGCACUCGGGGUAGUUUCAUUUUUUGCCUUACACACGGCAGACCCGUGGCGAUGCCCGCGUUUGCUCCCAACGAGUUUGAUCCGCUAAUCCGGUCCCUACCUAACUCGUGGAGCGUGCUCAUGCAAAGAGCGACCUCGACUACACCCAGAGUCGAUGCACUCAGGGUAGUUCUGCUUUUUCUGCCUCAAGCACGGCAAUUUUGCAACGAUGCUCGCUUUCUUUUCUAACAGUUCAGACCCGCUCGAUCGGGUUGUGGCUCACUUGUUAGAUGAGUUCCUACUUGGAGCUAUGCCUACCUUCAGGAUCGCUGCACCCAGGGUAGUGUCCACUACUUAGCGUUUUAAGCCUGGACGCCAAUUCAGCCAAGGCACACAAGUGGAGACAUCAAAGAAACUAUAUAUACAAGGAAGUAAAUACUUAUUUUUUACACCCUAAUCCUGCAGUACACUUUAUACUAUUUGUUCUGCUACAGGUUGGGCUUCUUGGAGGUAUUGGUCGAAUUGUUCCUCGGUGCAAUCCGCAGCCAUGCCCUGAGCAAAUAUCUCUAGUUGUGCCCUCGGCACAAAAGACUACACGAAGGUGAGGGCGUGGCUGACGCAUGCAACCAGGGCUUCCGAGAGGAAUCUGACCACCUUUUGCGGCGCUUCGCGAAGUCGUUCUAGCAAGGGCCGCGGGCUUGUUUCGCCUUCUUCUGGUGGAUCCACCAUGUCCACCAGUUCCUGGGCGGCUUCCUUGACAAUUUCAAAUUCCUUCUCCCGCUGCCCCUUUUCCUCGCCUAGCGUCUUGAUUCGCUGAAGGCAGUCGGCGAAUUGUUCUUCAGUGUCGGCGACUACCUUCUGCAGCCUCUCGACAUCAUCUGUACGACGAUACAGCAUAUUCUUCAUGUCAGUAAGCAGCUCUUCUUUGUAUUUUAUGAUUUUCCUAAGCUCUACGGUGAAGAUAUUUCAGCAACCAGGGGAAACUACUAAGGAAAAGUACCCGAGGGAAGCAAGGUCUUACCUUGGUGCGCUUUCUUUUCCUCCUUGAGCUGCUCCUGGUGCGCCGCCUGCUGUUCCUUGAGCUGUUUUUGGAGCUCGGCGUUUGCCUUCUCGAGGUUUUGCAGGUCGUUCUUGAGUAGCCAAGUCUCUCAAGUUCUUUCCUGCUUCAGCAUGUCAAGCUCCCUCUGCAGAUAGCAAUUUUUUGUCUUCUCAUCGGAGAUGUGCUUGUCCAGGGCAGCCAGCUCUCGGUGGCCACUCACAACCGCGCUCAGCUUCUCCGAUUUCCUCUGGGAGUGAGUGAUCACAUUCUGCGCAAAGGCGAGGUUGGGUCAAAACAGCUCGCCAAUAUGUACAAGCAGAACAAUUCUCAGGUCUUACCAUGGAGAAGUCGUACAGUUCCUUGAAGGUCUUUAUGUUCUCGGCCGUCAGCAUGGGGUCAUCCACCAGGUCGGUGUUGAUGACGUUCUUGUAUCCGGACCCGGCCUUCAGUAUCUCACGAGGACCCCCUGUGGUCCCCGCGGCUUCUUCGGGUGGUGGCUGCUGGGCACCUGCAAAUACAAAUGUUGUCAACACAUUGCGCCCAGAUCCCGGUAGCUAGCCGCGGGCGGUCAGACGCUUACCUGUGCCAUCCGUAGGAGCGGCAUCAGGGGCCUCGACUUAUUCCCCGCCACCAGUUCCGGCUUCAUCUUGUUGGAGCUCGGGAGGCGGCAAGUCGGGCAGCGUCGCGUCCGCCUCGGGGGCCGGCUCCGUGGGCGCUGCCUCACCAGGCGCCGACGCCUCAGGGGCUGGAGCGGCUGUGGCUGGUCCUGCGCCAGAAGACUCAGCUCGGGUUGACGACUCGGGGGCUGAGGUAGUCGUGGCCAGAUCCAGCUGGAGCUGCACCGCGCUUGCAGCCCUGAUGAUGUCGGAGUCAUUGUUAUACAAGUCGAAAAAAGCAGAAUAUUUAUGUGACCAGAUGCAAACUUACAAUGUAGACUUCUUUUUGACGGCCUUUUUCACCCGCAAGGCUCGCCGUGGAGUUUCCGUUGCGGGCGGCGGGGUUUGAUCGGCCGACGGUGUGGUCCCCGCCACGGCAAUGGUAAUGGCCGCGGUGGCGGAUGGACCUGUUCCCAUCUCUUCGGGCUCGGUCCCGGGUGAAAGAGCAGGAAGACUACAAGUGAAUACUGUCAGUGUACAAUAAUACUGAUAUUUGGCAACUCAUCAAAGCAGCAAACCAGUACCUAGAAGAUUCGACUUCUUGCGUCUUUCGCUUGCGCACUACUCGACGACCCUGCGGCACCUGAGGUAGGGCUUCGGUUAACUCCACGGCUAGCCUGGAGGAGUUAUCCCUUUCUGCCCCCUUUUCAGCAUCCUCCUCCACCAGGCGGCCCUCGUCCUCUGUGGACCCGCUGCUGGGCAAAGCCUGGGCUAUGUGAGCCCUCUUUGCUUCGACAAUGGCGCUGGGGAGGAGGUGGUCUGGUCGGGGGAUGUCGGGUUGCGGCGGGUAGCUGCGGUACAGUUCUGUGUGCCCUUGCAGAAGAUUUUCAGUUAACAGCAGUAGAACAGAGUUUGUUUCCAAUAAAAAGUAGUCGAAUACUCACCGGCAGUGGAGCAUUCCGCGCGCAAAACAAUUCUGGGACAUAGGGGACGGCGUCCACGUCCAGCAGUACCCGCCUGACUCGGAGGAGUGCGGCGUCGUCUGACAGCUCCUCUGCGCACAUGCGAGAUGGAUCUUCAGAGCCUGUGUACUCGAAUCCAAGAUGGUGGCGCUGUUGGAUCAGUUGGACUCAGCGUUUGAAGAAAGAGAACAUAACGGAAGCGCCGGUCACCCCCAUCAACUUGUUUGCUUCUAUGAGUUCUAAUAAUUCCUCGACUUGAUCCAUGUCCCCCCUGGACAGUUCAAGAUUCCACUCCAGCCUCACUACAGGUGGGUUAUUUGUUUUUUCUGGGAGCUGGGGGCAUGAUUUUCAGUAUAGAACCAAUGAUUGUUCCAACCAGGAAUGUUGGAGGAGAAUUUGUACGAGAGGUACUUUUCGCCGGCCUGCUGACGUAGUUGGAUGCCGGCGCCCCCUACUCAGAAAGUUUUUUUGAGGUAGGUUGUGGCUUGACGCGGAAGAGGAAGCGGAAAAGAUCCCAGUGUGGCUCGAUUCUGAGGAAGGCUUCACAGAAAUGGAUAAAAAUGGAAAUGUGGCAGAUGGAAUUCGGGUUGAGGUGAUGGAGCUCAAGCCCGUAAUAAUAGAGAAGGCCGCGGAAGAAAGAACAAGAGGGAAGGGCCAAUCCUCAUUCGGCAAAGUGGUAAAAUAUGACGAUUUCGUCAACAUUUUCCAUAGGGAAAGGUUCACGGAAAGAGGGGCGCCAGUUGACAAGAUUUUUGUCUUGCAGCAACCCCUCGGAAACUAGCUUAUUCAGAUCGUUGAGGGAACACUUACUGUAUGUCCACUCUCCGGUCGACGAGUGCACCUCCUUCUUUUUCCCUUCGAUUUCCGAUUUCUUGGGCGCCAUUUCCGAUCCGCUCGCCACGAGAUGCUCGGGGGCUGCGGGGAGAGGGGCGGGGAGAUCGGGGUGGGGGGAUUUCUCUGGGAGGAUAGCGGCGGAGCGCGGCUCUGUUUGGGGAUUUUUGCGGCUUUUGGCAAAUUGCAGAUUGGAGGCACAGUUUCUUCUCACUGUUGCCGCGGGGUUAAAUAACCAGCGGUUGGGGAAUAUUCCAAAGAUGAGGGGUCAUUUGGUGGAUUGUUUGGAUUAAAUAUUUGAUUAAUCAUUUUUUCAGGGUUAAUUAGCCCGAAAAAAGGGGUUUUUUGAAUUUUUGAUCUAAUUUCCAUCAUUUGUAUCAUCAUUUUGGUAAUUUAUUAAGUUAACAUUUUUAGCCUGCAUGCCACGAUUUUUGGACCCUUAUCUCCAAUUUUGAGGGAUUUGGAUUCAAGGCUCGGGGGCUGCGGGAUACGUGGCAUCGACUACUUAUUUUUCAAAUUUAUUUGAAAGGUAAGGAGGAUUACAGACUAAUGCGACCCUUAGCCUGAUUCUCCGAUUCAACCUAAGGCUCGGGGGCUACUCCAUAUGGAGUGCGAUUUUUCAAUCGCACGCCAUAUUAAAAAUAUAAUUUGGGGCAUGAGCACCUCAUAGCUUCGAUGCAGCCAAGCAAGUACUCGAAGAAGGACUUCAAGACGAAGCUUCAAAGGAAGACGAAGACUGCUUCGAAAGUACUCGAUAAGUCUGCAGUACUCAGCUACGAAGAGCUCGGGGGCUUGUCAGACCCAGGACCACGGGAUCGUGUACAUAAUGUAGUUUAAAGAGGUUUAAGAGAUUAAGUCCGUCUUAUCUCUUAUUUAUCUUGUUUAUCUCUUAUUUAUCCCGUUUAAGUAGGAGAUAGAGCUAACCGAUACAGGAGGAAUCUACUCGAGAUAUGUUCUGGUAUGAUUUCUUAGCUGGUGUUGGUUAGUAUCUUUGUAACCCUAACCUCUCGGAUAUAUAAGGGAGGAUAGGGACCCCUCUCAAAACACGAUCUCUAGAUCAUUCUACACCUAAGGCAAUACAAACCACCCCACAGGACGUAGGGUAUUACGCACCUAGCGGCCCGAACCUGUCUAAGCUUUGUGUUCCUUAUUCCUUCGAGUUCCUGAUCUCGGCGUCUCCUCACCCAAAACUUACCACGUUGGGUAUACCCCUCGGUGGGCAGCCUGUUAAACACCAACAGCAUCCUAUUUUUAAAAUAUAUAUUAUUAUAACUUAGUACUAGUAUAUAAAAUUGAGUAUUUCCACAUACUCUACGUAUGGUCACAUACACAAUACAGUGUAUAUAGCAUCACAGAUGGUUUGGUAUGAUCACAUACACCUCGUACGUACCUUCAUUAGGUCAGAUACAUUCUGCAUCAUGAGAUACACAUGUAGAAAUAACUAUAAGCGCGUGUAGAAUAGAUUUUUCAUAUAUAUAUAUAUAUAUAUAUAUAUAUGGAGAGAAAGAGAGAUGGGGAGAGAGAGGGGGGGAGCGGUUUAGCGGAUGUGCAUGCACAUCACGACUUGUCCUGUUAGGCUCGUGAACUUUUGUAAUAUAUACGCUCAUGUCGAACUCCUCUACAUAUUCAAAAUAAAAUAAGUAUGUAAAUGGAACUAUAUUUUUCAUGGGUGGAACUAACCCAAUCAUCCAACCGAACAGUAGGUCAAACCGAAUACUAGGUCGGAAAAAAUAAAUGCUUAUCAUAUUCUUAGUCGCAAUCCUAUCAAUAAAUUAAAAUGCUAUGAGCAUUUAGCAAGCGUCGUAUCGAUGUGACGACCGAGGAGGAAACACAUGGGACGAUGGCAUCGAGGCAAACACAAUAGGCAACUAGAGCUACAAGUCGCUAUCGGCACACGUCGUUUGAGUACGUGUUGUGUGUGUGUGUGACGACACAACAGGUGGUGCCGUCCAACUCGCCAAUUAAACACUCCGGCCGGCACGCCAUCAAGCUGUAAUCUGCACGAUACCUCUUAACUCACGACAGCGGAAGCGACGAGAAACAGAGAGAAUGUCCAGCUAAUCUCUCUCUUUUUUACAAGUUCGAUCGGCUAAUCUCCAUAAUUGAAGGGGGCAAAUUGGAAGAAGAGGACAUAGGACGUAAUGAAAAUUUCUGAGCAGCCACAGCAAUCGACGAAAUUUGUCUAAAGCUUCGAAUAUUCGGACAAGUUGUAGGCUUUUAUAUAGUAAUCAGACAUAUAUAAACGAUUGUUACCGAGCUAUAGUCGCCACAAUUGGACAGCUCAACCUUGGCGCACCGUAAUAAGAAGAUAUGUUGGCCGGCUAAAAUGGAAACAAUUCAUAAAGAAAAACAGAUGAUGUCAAUUGCACCGUUUCUUCUCUUUUAACUUUCUAAACUAGCUACGAAUUGGUUAGAUUUCUUGUGUUGCAACCUAGCCAUCUGAGUUUGAGCCGCCGACUCCUUGAGUUCUCACAUUUUUGGCUGAAAAUUCUUUUAGUGGCAGGCGAUAUGCUUAUCGUGUAUUUAUGAAGAUAAGUGUGUUUCUAAAAAGAUUGUUAUGUUUCGAAACCCCCCCCCCCUGCAUAUUUACCUUCCUAAAACCUGUCAUGUUAUAUAAGUUGUUGGCCAAGAUUAUGAAUUUAUGAUCGAUAGAGUCAUUACCCUUACACGAACUUUCAUGAUCGUUCACUUCAUAUAAGGACUGCAGUUGGAAGGUCAUUUUUCUAGUAGCGAUGCUAACCCACAUGAAGCCCAUCUCGCCCACAUGGUCGCCACAUUCGAUUAAAUUCAAGAAGCUAAGCUUCCUUAGGCAUAAACAACAUGUGCAUGGAAGGUUUACCAUGAGACUAAGUCGAGAUCAAGAUGAAAAAUAGCAACCGCAAUUGAUCUUAUCAUCACUUGGUGUCAUCCCGAAGGAUUUCGAUGUCCAAGGACCACAUGCAAGUGACCCAAUAAUGGCUUCUAGAAGGCCCAAACACUGAUAUAGUCGAGAUUGAGGAAUAUUGAAAAAAUUGAAAGUACAAAGUUAAAGGCAGUUCAUGGCGAUCAGCUUGCCAUGUUUAGGCCCUCGAAUGCCUUUCAUUUCAAGCCAUUUCAUUGGCCGCCUGAAAUUCCAUUAAAUUGAUAUCAGGCUAUUUCAGCGGGAACUAAAAAUUCGCCGAACAAAAAAAAUGGAUUUUAGCUAGGAUCUUUGAAUUGGCUGGGAGAUCGAUGAGUUUUUGGGCUUUGAAAAAUAUUUUGCUCGAUAUCCUGCAAUUAUCUAGGUUUUGCCAUGGGGUUUUCCCAUGUCCCAACAGGCACAAUUAUGGAGUUGGAAUCUCUAUCCAUUUUCCCCGGCCCCAAUAUUUAAAGCUUAUACACCUUUCAGCAUCACUAUUGGCACAGUAGAUGGAUGGCUGUGACGGGGUGGGAGAACAAGCCAGCUAGCCAAUGUGGCACAACUUGAUCUAAAGAUAUGUGUGGAUGAUUACUCAUUAUGUAUAAAUCUACAAAGUCAUAAUAAGUAAAUUAACAAUGUCAGAUAUGGAGAUUGCAAUAAAAGGAUUUAAAACGGUAAAAAAAAGAAAAUAAAAGACGAGCGUACUCCUAUAUUUUAUGGUUCAUUGUUGAUGGGUUAUUCAGUAAGCAAGCCAUCCUCUAGGAGACUGAUUGAGGUUCUUUGCACCCAAGGCUUAAAUUCUUCCCUUGCAUCUUCUCCCUGCUGGGCGUGCCAAUAUGACCACCCAAGUAGAGUCAUUCUUUUCUCUUUUGUUUGGAAUCGGCCGCUGGGUGGCCGGGGGGUUGGUUCGCUCGCAACAGCAAGGAGAUUUAGAGCCAUUGUUUUCUCACCGCGUCGAACGCGCUCGGCCAUCAUCAUGUCAUUAGCUCCGUUUGUUUUUAAUGAAGUCGCCGACGACUCGCCCUGCUAGCUGUGACAUUGUUGUUCUAUCUGCGAUCUGCGGGCGCGACCAGCAUGAGAAGCUAACGGAAGGAGCAGACCACGAAGGUCGACCAGCACUGGUUGCCGCCUGCCGGAGCUAUGGCGACCCGCGGCAGCUCCGACCACAGAGAUGGUAUCGGUUAGUCCUCCCUCCCUCCCUCCCUCUCUCUCUCUCUCUCUCUCUCUCUCUCUCUCUCUCUCUCUCUCUCUCUCUCUCUCUCUCUCUCUCCCCCCCCCCACACACACACACACAGUUCUCUGCGCUGCACAAAUGUCCGUAGGAAUUAUGCACGUCGCACUAAGAUUUGAAUACCCGCAUAUAUACUUUAUUGACAUUAUAUAUUGAGGUACGAGUACGAUAUAGAGAUAUAAAUAUUCCAAUAUCUGGACUUCUUUUCAUUCCGUCAAUCGAUCAAAAGCAAUGUACGUAAACCUGUAAAAUUCACUACCAAGGGCUUGAUGUAUGCAAGAGCUACAACUCCUUGACUCUUGCAGAGAAACAUUGUUUUUUAUGGGAAAAAUAUGAAGUGAGUUAAGCAUUGUUUUUAGCCAAGAUUAUACACUGAAAGGAUCAAGAUGUUCAAGAGAUGUUGGCUUCUAAAUUUAUUACUCAUCAUGUGACCAGCUUCAAAGUUUGUGUAUCUAACGCACAAAAUCCUAGCAUGCAAAUCCUGAGAAUGUAAAUUGUGGAAAGUUAAGAGAAGGUUGAGAAUACUAAUUUUCCUCAAGGUAUAAAAAAGGUUAGUACUCUCAUGUAGUCCUUGUUAGAGCACCUGUGCAAAGGGUCGCGUAAGGAUCAAAUGUUCUCUAGUGCAUUUCAAAAUACUCCAAAUUGAUUGAUUCGAGUUUCAACUUGGAUUCUUCCCAUUCUUCUAUGCUCAGGGCUAGGUCUUCCUUAUCUCCUUCACACAUAUCAUUUGCACCAAUACUGAGAAAUGCAAUAAAACCAUAAAGCCCAUCAUAGUGACCUAACUUAUAAUUAUCGCUACAAAACACAAGUUAGUUACAAUGACCAUGAUGCCACAUUAUUAAUCUCAAAAACUGAAUCAGGAGCUAGAUGCUUCCAUAAACAAAAUGACUCACUCCAUGAAUUCUAUGAUUAGAGUUUGUUUCAAAUGAUGAAUCCAUAUGGUGAUCAAUUUGAAUUUAUGUGUAAUUAAUUGAUAUAUAACAAAUGAAUAUUUAACUGUUAGAUCCGUACAUAUGCGGCAGUCGGUGAUGUCUGCUUGAGAUAAUAAUUGCCGAAUUGAAACUGACUUUUUGUUGCAGCGGAGGAUCAUGCUCUUGUCGUUGCUGGUGCCAACAAUAUGAAAAUGUUUGGCAUGCCUAGAGACUUAUUUUUGAGAUACGAUAAUAAUAGGCGGAAUGGGGCUGCCAUUGGUGCAUCCACAUCUUCUUUCGCACAGGAAUACGACAACUUUGAGUCCCAGGUACGUGCGCAUGCAUCUUGCCAAAUAAUAAUCACAUUUAAUUUCCAUCAUUUCUCUGUCCGCAUCAUUAGGCUGUCUCCAGCGAUAUCCUCCAAAUCCCAUCCUCUACAUCCUUCUUUUACAGAAUUCUUUACAAGAUUCUCUCCUCUAUAUCUCAUUUCUCUCCAACAACGUUCUCUAAAUCUCGUUCUCUAUACAUUAAACCCUAUAUUAGAAACGUAUUUUGUUCCAAAUUUUUGUACGUGCGUAUUUAUCAUACCUCAAACGCUAUGGACAUAUUUUAUUUUUAUUUAAUUUAGUGUUUGAAACGUAAAGAAAAAUAGAGAAGAGGAGAGAGAAUCUCUAUAUAUAUAGAGAAAACCUGUAGCGUUCUCUAUUUUAGAGGACCAUUUAGAGAACGCUGCUGGAGCAAUAGAGAACGGAAUCUUCUUCUAUAUAUAGAGUACAGAACGCUUUACAGUUCCCCGCUGGAGACAGUCUUAGCAUGGUUUGGAUUGGCCACGGUCCUAGAUCGAUUCACGGUAUAACUCCUAUCAUGGGAUAAUUCACAGAAAAAAUAAAUAUACAGAUAUUAAGAAAUAAAAGAGAAAUAUCGCGCCAAUUAGUUUAAUUUGCAGCAUCAGACAACAACCGCACACGCAAUUUAAUUUAAUAUCGAUACUGUAUAAUAGAAUUUUGUUAAACGUGCUGGAGUCGUAUACAACCAAAGUUGUAUUUUGGGACACAAACAUACAUUUUUAAUUUGUUAUCUAUCUAAACAAUAUCUGUGCACCCUCUCCAGCUAUAAUUUGUUUAUUUUCUAACAUUAUACCCUUAUCGAUACAGACGCUAGGGUUUCAAGGAAAAAACUGCGUUGAGAACCUAGCCUUUGUUCUACCUUUAAUUUUAAAGCCUUUCUUUGGAUACUAUAAUGGGCUAAUAUUAUAAAACUUCUAGCACUAUUUGAGUUUGCAGUACAUACCCUACAUAUUGAAUUUUUAUCUACUAAAGAACUCUAAGUGCUGCCACAUAUUUUUUUCUACAUAAUGGGAGUGCUUAUAUUCAUACUAUUAAUGUAGAAAUGGUGUAACAUUUCCUAUAAAAUUUUACAAUUUUAUCUAAAGUAGAAAAUUAUAUAAGUCAUAAGGAUUGGUAUAUAAUCUAACAUGAAUUGUUUCUGUCAUUGGCAUGUGAUUGUUAACCAAGGAAGUUGAUAUGCUUUCAUUGCUUUGAGUUAGGAUUGGAUUGUUGGAUGGGUAAUUUCAAAGCAUAUAUAAAGGUAUUUUAUGCUAUUGUUUCUAUAAUGAUAGUCGCAGGUAAUUUGAACAUAGAAUUACUAGAUGAUUUAGGAUUAUUAUAACAAUGGCAAAGAUUGAUAACUUAGAUGCAAAUUUAAAGGGUUAUUAUUCAUAAUGGUAGAGGACUAGAGGUGGACAAUUUUUGUGCAUAUUUAGUGGUUACUUUUAAGUAUCUUUCAUAAUGGCAAAGGUAGAAGAUUAGCAACAAUGGUUAUUGUUGGUAACAAUGAUUAAGUCUAGAGAAUUGAUGACUGGAUAUUUUGUGCAUUUUUUAGGAAUUUCUAGGGCUUCUCUCAUUUUCUAAUGUGUUCCAUGAGGUUUAAUGUGCAGACUCCAAAAGGAGUGUGCAUCUAGUAAUUGCAAGUAUUUAUUCUUAAUAAUAGCAAAGGUUGGUGACUUAUUAGAUGCAAAUCUAGGGUUUUAUUUUCUUUCAUAAUGGCAACUGGAGUAACUAAGAUGCAGAUUCAUGGAAUUAUUUCAGGUUAUCUUUUAUAAUGGUAGAGGUUACUAGUUAGGAGUGCAUUAGUUAUUGAUGCCAAAAGUGAUCGAGUCUAUAGAAUUAAUGAUCGUGUCUUUGCUUUUUUUGGAGGAAUUUGUAGAAUUUCUCUCUUUUUCUACCUUGUCCCGUGAUGAUUUACUAGAAGGCUCCAUAUUGGUCUCUAAUUAGCAAUACUUAGUUUUAACAUCGUUUAAUUAUAUACAUGUGUGUAUAUAAAUGCAGAUUUUUGUUAGGUCCUGCCAUGGUACUUGCCUUCUGAACACCAAUCUGCAGAGUGGCACGGUGGAAACACUUAAAUGCCUGGUAGAGGAACGGGAAGGGAUUCCUGCUAAGGAUCAGUAUUUGAUCUUUGGCGCGAAACCAUUGCGGGACGGUACGUUGCUCAGAGAUUAUGCAAUUCGAGAUGAGUCGACCAUAGAUGUUCUUCCAAGGAUUCGUGGUGGCAGGUAAUAAGCCGAAUAAUCGGCCUAGGCUUAAUUUUCUUUCCCUGUGCUCUGAUUUUGCACCGCUCGAAAUGAACUUGUUAAUCUCUUGAACAUGAUGUUUACAUGUACAUUAAUCAUCUGUGCAGUCGGGAGGACAUGACGUUGGAUGAACUGCUAGUACGCCAGGCGCCCUUGACCAAGGAUGCUGUUGUGAACGAGCUACCGCCUGGGCCAGGAGUGUCGAAUUCAACAAAAGUGCUGGACGAAGCCGGCGUGAGGGUGCUUCGCGGCAUCAUGUCGUGUGUCCUGAAGAACCACAAGGCUAAGCUGGCAUUCCGGGAGAACGAACUCACAGCGGAGAAAUUGCGGGUUUCGGUCGUUACCAACGAACAGGAUGGCGUUCUGUGGGAAACAGCUUCAGUGAAGCUCCAUAACAUCAGUGCAAAAGAGACACUGACGGACGAUACCCAAAAGGAGAACUUGAGACGACUCCGCGAGGUGAUAGAGCGCGUGUUCCGUCGCACAGGCGGCAAUGGGCCUCAGUACCCUUUACAUGUAGAGAGCAUAGACUCAACCCUCGUGACCCUGUCAGCAGAGACGACGACGCCAUUGUCGCCUGCCACCUCUGGCCUGCUGGCGGGACGCACGCAGCUGCUGGAAGCGUUAGCUGCGACGGUGGAUCCCGUCCAAAUGGCAAGCAUGUGGUGGAACCUCAUCAGAUUUCAGGACUCGCUGACUAGAGAACGGCGAACUGUAUUCCGGAAGGCCGUGGAGAGCACAAAACAAACCAAUUGGUCCCAGAAUCUCUCCCAUCAUCCACUCUUCAGCAAUGUGUACAAUUACGAGAAUCCUCCCUCGUAUGACAACUCCGCCGUGGACCUGCUCUUCUUUGCAAGGAAUUGGUUUACGCAUGUGCCGAAACAACAAUGGGUACGUACGCACACACCUGCUGCAUAAUUAAUCGAUCUCCUCAAUUCCGCUCCUUCUUUCUUUUUUUUAUUUCUUCUUCGAGGCAUUUCCUUCUCUAACCACUAAUUCCCUGCGUGCAUGUUCCUAGUUUACAUUGCCUUGCUAGCUAAUUGUCACUGUAAUUAGUUAGAAUUGGUCGAAGUUGACUAAAUUUGAUUUAGGACAAACCUAACAUGAUAUGUAAAUAAAAAUAGAGGAGUACAUUAAUUAUUAGCCCCCCUCAAGAUAUGUUUACUGUUAUAUGGUCACAAGCCAAUGGAGAUCUUUGGUUCGUCUAACGCAACAGCUUGAAGGACAAGUCAUGCUACAAAUUAGCAAAGUAAUUCGCGACUCUAAAUAAGACUUUUACUUCAAAUUUAAAAGCGAGGUCAAAAAUUAAACUCUAAUAAACCCACAAUUAUAGUCCUUAUUUUGUGUAAAUCUCCAAACCCUCCCUCCUUCCUAGAAUCCAAGGUUUUUGGCUCUCUCAACAACCCCUAUUUGGUAGCUAGUUACAAGACUGACGUGGGAUGAUUCUUCCGUCCUUUUCCUUUUCGCUCGGCCUCCUCCUGCUCAACGCCGCGCCAUCAACCCUCCUCCGACUGCCCACUCGCUCCCAGCUCCGCCCCUCCCAAACCGCAUGGCCCUCCUCUAUUGUACGCUCGCUCCGCCUCUCCUGCAUGGCGCCUCCGAUCCUCCUCGUCAUCAUAUAGCGCCGGCGCCGCCUCCCUUCCCUAGCUUUGAUCAUAACUGGCCUGGUUCCAUGCUAGAUGGCCCAUUUGUCCAUCUGUAGUUCUUUGUAAAUUACUUAUAUUUUUAAUAUACGAUGCAGAUGCAUGCGCUCACACGUAUGUAUACUUAUCCCUAUGAAUAUAAUACAUAUAACAUAUUUGACAUCAACCAGACACUGAAAGAAUUAGCUGCAUUAAUGUUACACAAGUCAACAAACUUGAGGAUCGAUUUCUUGUAGGUAAAGGUAUGACCGCUUCCGCUGACCAAAUAGAUUGGAUUUUUUUUUUUACUAACCAGACACUUCCUUUCUCUGCAGAAUGACCUGGGAGCACAAGUAUUUCAAGGAUUACCGCAUCUUGACUAUAUUUUUACUCAUCAUUUUAUCCGUUUCCUGCCAAACCUUCUGCUAGGACUUCGUGAAAAAAAAUUCGAUCUUAGAGAAAUGUAAGUUUCUGAUACCCUUAAAAUAAAGAAAAUACUGCGCAUGCAAUCCUGUGCUAACUAGGUAUUUGUUUUGCAGCCUUGUUCCUCUAACUUGAAGAUGAUCAUUGGAACUUAGCUGUCGCGGUGAACCAGUGUGCAAAUAUACUUAUUAUCAUCCAAUUCAGCCAAUUCAUGCUAGCAUUUUUGCCUUUUACUAUAUAUCUGUACAAACGUGUCUACCUUCUUUUAUCUAUCUACUAAAUGUACUAGUAUAAGCUACUCUACUAUAUUUAUGACAGUUCCUGAAUUUUUGUGUAUUUCCAUGACUUAAUUAUUAUCAAGUGUGAUUUUCCCGUUGUGAACAUAACGAAAGAUUUUAUGACUAAUGAUGAAAUUAAAUGAUUAUCAGGACACUACAGUGUCAGUCCUGAUAAUUAUUAUCCUUAUGUUUUUAGAACUUUCCUCCACUACGGGUCUCGUUUCUACCUGCUACUAUCUCGGAAGCCUAGCUAUUAUGAGAGAAUCAAUUUGCAAGGGCGUAGAAAUUUAAUAAUCACUAUAAAAAAUGAUUUUUAGAGGUGUCUCUUUUUUCUGGGAUGGCCCAAAAGGUAACUCACUCCUACAAAAGGAGCGGGGUUAUUGUAGUAUUCGAUGACGGGUGAUGCCUGGAAAAAUGGCCACCAUUUUUAGGAACGGGUGAAAAAUACAUUUUUAAAGAUGGGUGAUGGCGUCAACCGUCUCUACAAAUGAUCCAACACAAAUAAAUUCAUAAAUUUUCAUAUGAUCUCGGAUGAAGUCAAACUUUAUAUCAAAAUUGUAGAGCUUGACGAGACCUAAAAUUCUGUAGUUGAUAACUUUUCAUUUAAGGUUCAAAAAAUCUAUAAGUUUUGAUUUUUCCAAACAACCUCGAUGUAGAUUAGCUCCAUAUCUAAGCUGUAGUGGUAGGAUCUAAAAUUUUAUAGUAUAUAAACUAUUCAUUUAAGAAAGUUUAGGAUACUCAUGAUUGAAUUGUUGUACUCUAUAGUCUAUAGUAUGUGCGUUGUGCUAUAUAGUAUCUCAUACAUACAAUUUAAGUCAUACUUUGAGGUUUCACAAUCUUAACAUUUAUAUAUACUGAAAUAUACUUGUCAUAUUUUUUUCUGUAUCUGUAAUUCAUAAUAAUCAUAGUGUAAAAGUUUUACUUUUUUAUUUAUUUUGCUAUAUUCUAAGAUUAAAUGAAUUUUUAGAAUAAAAUAGAAAAAUAUUUUCAGGACGGGUGGUGGUAUCGCCCACCUCUGGAAAUCCGUCCCUGGAAACGGAUUUGUCAGGGAGGGUGAUGGCGGCACCCACUCGUACAAAUCGAUUUAAUAGUUAAUACAAAAGAAUGACAUACCUCAUAGAAUCACAAAUGACUAUAGUGUGGUGAAAAUGAGGGUACGUGCGAGGCUUGAGCAGUAAGAGGGGCUUGUGGUGGUUGGUUGGUGGGAAUAUUUUUUUCUUUUUUAUUUUGUUGUUUUUUAUAUUUCUAAAUUUUUUCAGAAAUUAAUUCGUAGGGGCGGACCCGCCCCUACAAAUACCAUUUCUAGGGGCGGGUGAGGCGGGUGAUCCCCUCACCCGCCCCUAAAAAUAUAUUUUUAGGUCUAAAAAUGUAUUUUUAGGCCUGGAAAUGCAUUUUCAGUUAGGCCUGAAAAUGCAUUUGCAGGAGCGAGCGCGUUACCCGCUCAUGCAACUGAAAAAGUAGGAGCGGAUACCGCACCCCUACAAAUAGUGUUUACCCGCCUUAAAAAUCCUUUUUUUAGUAGUGAAUGUAAUUCUAAGGCAUUAGUUUUAGCAGAUGGUUACUCAAAACAUUCAUUCAACAAAGCAGCCUCGUACUGCCAAAAACAUUUCUGAACAGAGUUUGUUUUACUUUUGACUGGUGAACAGAGUUUCACCAUACAAGUAAAUAAAUGUUUAUUGCCACGAAAAGGAACGGCGAGAAUGUCGUACACCCGAAGAGAAAAUGCUGAAACUGUGUUGGACCAUGUUGAGUUGUGUUCCAAAUUUAGUUGCACAUAAAAUGCCGACUUGUGAUAGAGCGUAGCGGAGGUCCGUCGUCGGAUUAGGGUUUUUCCUUGAUGAUAAUCUUCUUGUAAGCCGCCGUACGGCGCUGUAACCCGACUCUUGAUAUAUUAAAGUUCCUGCUGGCUGGCGCUCGUGAUAUUUCCCUUCCGUAUUGGUUGGAUUUUUCACGUUAAAUCUCGUGUCCCCUUUCGGUUUGAUCUGUUUACUUUCAACGUUUAUAACAGACCAAAGAUUGCUUGGCACCUAUUAGGGGUUCCUGUGCGACUGUCCUUGGUACGGGGUGAGAACACACUCGAAGUGCUGCGCCAUCAAGACUUCUACCGUGUGCUUCUACGACUCCCGUGAAUGCGCGCCUGAUACGGUCGUUGUCCACACUCCCACUGUCAGAAAACGGAAACAAUUGCAUCUCUCGGAGGUUCAGCAGGUGCUCGACGCCGACUGGUGCAGUACCACUCCAUUCAGAGUCCAUGUAUGACAGAGUGAGCUUUUGAAGAUUUGGCAUGACCCCCGCCUCGAAGCGCAGGCGUGAGAAGAAAUCCCCGCCGCAGUAGAUCUUCAGGUGCUCCAGAGCUGGGAAUCCCCCGGGGCCAAAAGCAAUAGGAGCUUCGUCUUGAGGGCAGCUCUGCACCCACAGGUCGAGGUCAUUGAGUGAGGGCAGCGCACCGAGGACGCGGACCUCGGCGGUUGAUGUCUCCUUGACACUGAGUUUCAGGCGGAUAAGGCUUUGGAGACCGCCAUUGAUCCACCUUGGAGCUCUAGGCAGCAGCCAUCGUAUCAGUUCAAGUUUCUGAAUCUGAUGGAAGGGGGGACACGACAACGAGCCCAGUCUGUCGUUCACGUCAUGUGUCCAUUGUCCGACUGAACAAAUGAUGCACAAACUUCUGAGGUUACAGAGUUUCCCAAGUGAGGUCACCAAAGCAUCUAUCUCUAUCUCUGUCAGAACCUGACUGUUGUAGAGCUGAAGGUCCCUCAGAUUGAUAAGCACACCAAGGUCGUUGAUGUUCUGGACAUCCGAGACGUCGAAUCCUUCGAGAGUGCAUAGAGACUUCAUUCUGCCUAUGCCAUCAAGUAGCCUUGUAUACAGUGGCAGAAUCAGGUGGCGCAGCCGGGGCAACCGAGCAGUCUCUGACGGCAAUCUUAUUUCACUUGUGCAAAAUAUCUGAAAUAUUGCCAGAUGCUGCAGUCCUUGUAUUUCAGUAGGGAGCUCUAUUGCUCCAGCUGAAACAUUCAAAUACCUGAGCUGAAAUAACUGCCCAACUGUAGUCAGAUCGACCCUUUGAUUUUCCAAUGUCAGCACCCGGAGAUAUUUGGACAACAACAACACAGGUAGGGGUUCUCCAAACAGUUGAAGAGAUCGAACGUGUGACAGGGUAGUAGCAGUUGUCCCGGCUAUUGCGGUGUCUCCUUCAUCACCAAUUCUCGGGUCCAAUAACAGUCGACGGAUCUUGUAUUCAUUCUGACCUCUAAUUUCUCCUAGAUUGUAUGCCACACUGACAAAAUUAGCCUCCGUACAUGAACUUAGGAUGAAAUCAAGAAUUACAUCAUGUACUCUGCAAGAAACCACCUCCCCGUAGUUAGUGUUUGCAGGUUGAAUCAAGCCUCUGUUGAUAAGCUCACUGAAAUAACUCUGAGCAACGUCCUCCAAGUUUUGCCCAGGUGAAUGGUGGACAAAGCCUUCAGCUACCCAUUGUCUAAUCAAUUCACUCCUUUGGAUUUCAGAGUCCUCUGGAUAGAUACCAAGGUAAAGAAAGCAUGUCCUGAGAUGAUGAGGAAGAUCCUUGUAGCUUAGGUAUAAAAUUUGCCUCAUCCUUUCCCAGGUGGGGUUUGUGCCAGAUUCCUGUAUGCCUAUAGAAUCCCGAAUACCCUCCCAUUCUUCUCUUAGUGGUGAUGGUCGAUUAGCUAGUAGUCUAGCUACAAGAAUAAUUGCAAGUGGAAUUCCACUGCACUUGCUCAAGAUUUCAUCUGAAACUUCUCUAAAACGGGAAGUGCAAUGGUUUUCUGAGCCAAACAUGCUCCUGGAAAAUAAAAUUCUUGACUCAUGGUCGAUUAGAGGCUUCAUUCUGUAACUGAAGUGACCAUAGUGAUAGGAUGACUUGGAAGCCAGAUCUUCCUUUCGCGUGGUCAGAAUUACUAUGCAACCCAUACCAUUCUCAGGAAAAACAGACCAAAUUGUAUCCCAAGUUCGUGCAUCCCACAAAUCAUCAACAACAACAAUAUACCUGUUAAAUUGUUGGGAAAGAUAAGAUAGAAUAAGCAAACUCUAUUCAGUAAAAUGCAUGCACCUUUAUCUUAAGAAUAUAUAAUGAAGCUAUCAUUAUGAUUUAAGACAGGCUUAUAUGCUAAGCAAUUGCUAAUACCAAUCACUUUAGAUCUGUUGGACUUGAAUAGCAAAAAUCCAUGUAUGCAGUAUAACAUUCCAAGAAAUUACUAUGUAUAUUUGGGAAUAUGUAGCUAGGUAGACAGAUUAUGAGUAAACAUGUUCAUUUGACCUGAUACACCUAAACUUUCUUGGAGUAAAACGUGAGGUGCAUCAACAGGUGUUAUAUGUUCAUCAAAGGAAAGGACGCCUACAGCAGCCCAAAACAAGUCUUUUAGACUGUAGCUCUAUCACAUAAUUAAAGAUUAACACAUCAAACUUCUUAAAACUCUAAAACCAUACCAAAAUUUUUUCAAACACCACUAUCAUCAAACUUUAACACAUAUAGCCUACACAGUUGCAGCAAGCAAAAGUACUAGAAUUAAUAAAAUGCAUAGUGAAGUGUCCUGUUAGGCUGUAGAUGUUUCCUGAUGUCGUCAAUGAUGACUUUAACAUUGAAAUUUGAGGGAGAUUCCCUCAUCCCAAGUUCUGAUUGUAUACCAUGGAGAAGUCUUAUUAUAUCUGGUCUUUGGGAAACUGAGACAAAUGCCAUGACGUCAAACUGCCCUCCAAUUUUAUGAUACACCUCCUUGGCAAGUGUAGUUUUUCCUAGACCUCCAAAACCAACAAUUGAUAGUACCUUUAGUUGUUGAUCCGUAUCUGUUAAAAACUUUAUAAUGUCUUCCCUUGGGCCUUCAAUACCAACAAGAUUGGCUUCAUUACUGUAAAGUGCUGGCAAUCGACGGUCAACGGCCACAGAUCCAGAUAUAGAAACAUAAUCUCCAAAUUUGUACUGCUUAGGCUGUUCAUUUAUCUCCUUUAGAUGAGCCUUGAGCUCCUUGAUCUGCUUGGCAGUGUUAAGAUGAGCCCUCAGAUUCUUGAUAAAGAGAGAAACCUUAUCGAUGAAAACAGCACUUGCACCACCAAUUCCUGCACGGUGCAAGAAAUCAUCGACAAAAUCAUCAAUUUCAUAUCCCAUCUCCCUCAUCUGGUCCCUCCAAGCCUUCACAAGUGGACCAAGUUCAUCAGUGUCCUCCAGCUUCUCAAAGAGAGCAUUGAUGGCUCGGAGCUUAUCUCUUAGAAAUACCAUAUUGUUGGAGACACCUAUGAGGUUGGUGUUUACUUGUCCUCCAUCAUCUCAGUGAGCUUGUCUAGAAGGGGACCUAUCACCCCCUUGGAUGCGCUAAUCACGGCUGGCACCAUAGCUCGAUCGCCUCGGCCUUCCCCUCUGUACUGUUCUUUGCUCCUGCAAAUAAGGAAGUUGUUGGGACAUGAGAACCAAGUGGUAUUCAGAGCUUGCAGCUGGGUUUGAGCUUCGCUCACCGGCACUCCAAGCAGUUUUGGGGCCAAGGUCUGGUUGAUUAUGGGUCUGAGACUAGAUGUGAAAUGGCAGGAAGUAGAAUCAAUAACAAAAAAGAAAACAACUAGCAGGAGAGAUCUGACUGGGAGACCGUGUAUAAUUAAUUCAAGAAAGGAGAUGGGAACAUGAACACCAAAAAUCUUGUCAUCUCAUCGUCGAAUAGUACGGAAGCACCAGCCCGCAGAUCAGAUCUGCGUGUGCUCUCCACGUCCCUUCAUUCAAGAUACUCAGUGUCUAAAUCUAUCCAGCUAAAACCAAAAGAGCACAUAUGAAGUAGUCUCAAGUAGAGGAUCGGAACUUUGUGAACACCACGAGCACACACGCACUUUCUCUGUUUCUCUUAACUGCUUGACUUGCUCUUGCAAAUGAGCUACACCUGAGACUAGAGAGAGAGGCAGUGAGUUGAGACCUUAAGCUCUGUGUAUCAUCUUUGGCCUCUCCUACCUUUCUUUUCCCUGGAGCAUGACCCAAUCUUCUUAACAUGAUCUCGAAGGAUGCUCGUGCUUGCCAUGCGCAUACGGCACGGUAGAACAGAUGCAGUUUUCUCCACCGCAUGGGCCCACAAUGAAGAAAAGUUGAGAGCCGCAUGGUGGACUUUGUUGGAUUGGUGCGCUAACCAGUAACAAAAAUAUCUUUCUGCACUAAGAAAAACUUUCCGCCUUUGAAAUAUGGUCAGUUGUGCCGAACUCUCAGUGGCCCUUUGGCAGAGAUUCUUUAUCCGGUUUCUGUCCAGAAAGCAGAAAUGAGUGCAUCCCUGCGCAACCUUUGGUGCAUGGGUGUUUCGAAACAGAAACGCUAGGAUCAGUUCUCGUUUUUUGCCUACGAAUGAGAAACAGGUAAAAGCGGCUUCUCACUAGAAACAACCAUAUCUUUACUAUCUUCCAUUUUAGAAAAUUAGUUCCAUUAAUUGAACUAAAGAGGGCCGGUGAAUCCACACAGAAGAGCAAAGGCGGAAAUAGCUGCAGUUUUUUUUCCAUCGCACGGGUCCAUACGAAGAAAUCUGAAAGCCACUGGGGAUGACUGGUCGGUAGGUAGAUGGCUUUAAUUUAUGCUAGCUAGUAAAGAAAAUACUGCCACUGAUCAUACAUAAGUUCAAGUAGGUGCGUCAAACUCAAAAAAAUUUCUUAACUUUGACUAGCAAAACUAUAAAUAAUAUUACUUCCUCCGUUCUAAAUUAUAGAUAACUUUUUCCUUUACUCUUAGAUAUACAUUUUGUUUAUAUACAUAGUAAAAACUUAUAUUUAGAUAGUUUUCCUAGUUUAAUUUUAAGGAGCUUGUUCUCGCGACACUCCUCAAAAUCUUGUAAACUCUUCCCUCCUCUUAAUGAAAAAAGUUAUAUUUAGAAAAGUAAAAAAUAAACUAUAAUUUGAAACUAAGGAAUUAUAUGUAAUGAAUAAAUAAAAUUAUGUCCUAUGAAAGUUUUUUUUUUCUCCCAUCGCCACCGUUCCCUCCAUGACUAACCUUUUCAAUCUCCAAUGCCCAAGAAGCAAAUCUCUGAACUGUGGGACCAUUCUUAAUCAAUUUGACUAAAAAAAAAA
Molecule: long non-coding RNA, 32306 nt
Filed under: Panicum hallii
Lineage: Eukaryota; Viridiplantae; Streptophyta; Magnoliopsida; Poales; Poaceae
Description: long non-coding RNA (PHAL_LNC000617)
Source: RNAcentral